RNAcentral lists this ribosomal RNA (761 nucleotides) under uncultured Burkholderiales bacterium. RNAcentral's name for it is "bacterial SSU rRNA". It matches the Rfam family "Bacterial small subunit ribosomal RNA", at positions 8 to 769 of the family's 1533-position model. The record is from RNAcentral. Lineage: Bacteria; Pseudomonadati; Pseudomonadota; Betaproteobacteria; Burkholderiales.
AGAGUUUGAUUAUGGCUCAGAUUGAACGCUGGCGGCAUGCCUUACACAUGCAAGUCGAACGGCAGCACGGGAGCAAUCCUGGUGGCGAGUGGCGAACGGGUGAGUAAAGCGUCGGAACGUGCCCAGUAGUGGGGGAUAGCCCGGCGAAAGCCGGAUUAAUACCGCAUACGACCUAUGGGUGAAAGCGGGGGAUCGCAAGACCUCGCGCUAUUGGAGCGGCCGAUGUCAGAUUAGGUAGUUGGUGGGGUAAAGGCCUACCAAGCCGACGAUCUGUAGCUGGUCUGAGAGGACGACCAGCCACACUGGGACUGAGACACGGCCCAGACUCCUACGGGAGGCAGCAGUGGGGAAUUUUGGACAAUGGGCGCAAGCCUGAUCCAGCCAUGCCGCGUGCAGGAAGAAGGCCUUCGGGUUGUAAACUGCUUUUGUCAGGGAAGAAAUCCUUUGGGUUAAUACCUCGGAGGGAUGACGGUACCUGAAGAAUAAGCACCGGCUAACUACGUGCCAGCAGCCGCGGUAACACGUAGGGUGCAAGCGUUAAUCGGAAUUACUGGGCGUAAAGCGUGCGCAGGCGGUUAUGCAAGACAGAUGUGAAAUUAGCUCAACUAGAGAACUGCCAUGGAUACUGCCAGGCUUGAGUACAGACGAGGUAGGCGGAAUGGAUCGUGUAGCGGUGAAAUGCAUAGAUACGAUCCAGAACACCGAUUGCGUAGGCAGCUUACUAGGCUGUAACUGACGUUGAGCACGAAAGCGUGGGGAGC